This 1327-nucleotide long non-coding RNA is filed under the name Nicotiana tabacum (common tobacco). Its description in RNAcentral is "long non-coding RNA (NTAB_LNC006831)". Lineage: Eukaryota; Viridiplantae; Streptophyta; Magnoliopsida; Solanales; Solanaceae. The record is from RNAcentral.
GACUGCAUCUUCAACAAUAAAGUGACUCAAUUCAAAUAUGAACGUGAAUAUUCUUGUGUCCAUCCUUCAUCCUUUGUUAGCUUUUGAUUAAGUUUCCUGCAUGUGUGUAAUUGUGAAAAUUUUAUUGCUAUGAAUCUGUUCCUUUUAAGAAGUUCUAUCCCUAUGUGACGAAUAGGUAUCCAUUCUUGUGUUGCUAUGAAGAAUUUAUUGGCUUUUGUUUGUCAUUUGGCUAUUUGAAUAUGUAUUACCGGUUUGACAUUUUUUAAAAUAUAGCACAAAUAGGUACAAUACCACAAUAAUCUAAGUAGUGGGCAAGUUCCAAAAAUUGCACAAAGAAACAAGGUUGCACCUCACAAUAAUAACAAAUUAGUCAAUGCUUAUACUAAACAGUGCACUCAUUUCGGCCAGAAAUUGAAUGAAGGAAGGAACAAUUUCUUUUAUUCUUAGCUUAGUCAUUGCUUUAACAAUCUAAAUCACUCAAAUUAACCCAAAUUACAACUAAAUUCAAAAGAUCAAAAACCAAACAGAAGAAAUAAUUCCAGUAAUUUCACCUUAACAAACAAACGAUAAACUCCGCAUCUAACACCAAAUUCAUAAGCAAUUUCAAUAAACAAAAAGAUUAAGUCAGAAGGAAUUAAAACUUUGCAAUUGCUGAAAUUUUUUCCAAAAAAAUAGUCUAAAUGGGACAUCGACCAAGGACCUCUAUCGAAAUCGAAAACGAACAGGAACCGCCGAGCCCGGAACAGAAAACUCACUCAUGACCAAGAACAACAACUGGUACUCACAGUUUUAUUUUUCAAGAAAAUCAUAAGUAGAUGCAAAUUUCUUCAAUAUUUGACUAAAUACAGAUCCUCCAACGAAUUGAAACUCGACAACUCAAAACGGGACCUUCGAUCCAGACCUCAGAAACUCGCCGGAACCGUGACAAAAUCCAACAACAACAACGGCUGAAGCUCUCCUUUCAGAAGUGUCGCUGCUGGUUGUUUUCAGUGAAGCAGGGGUCAUUGGUUUGGUUAAGAAUCAGCCAUGAGGUCGUGGCUGCUUGAAGAAGAUGAUCGAUAGGGGGGGGGGGGGGGGAGGUUUCUUGGUGUUCUGCGGCGGAUGCUCUUAGUUUCUCUAGGUCUAGCGGCUGAAAGGUCUUAUCUUGUAUUUUUUGUAUAUGUUAGUCCCCAAAUCCAAAGAAAAAUGGCUGCCCCUUACAAGGAUUUUAGGGUUUUAAUGGUAUUAUGGUUAGUUUAGUGGGUAUUGGGUUUGAGUUGUUAUGGGCUAAAUCCAAAUAUUAGGCCUACAAAUGGGUCGGUUGAGCCCAAAUUUUAUUCUAUCUCAG